GCUAGCCAGAGCUGCAAGCAGCCUUACACGUUCGAAGGGCUGUAACACAGCAGGUGCAGCUGCAGAUUCUGGUCCCAGUGCCGCAGUAACAGAAAGAGCCCCCGGGCAGCGGCCUUAAGAGCAGUCAGAUCAAGGCCAUCUGGCAGGCGUUGAGCCCUCAGCCAGCAGUCAGCUUUGGAAGCUGUUAGUUCCCACUCGCCGAAGGCAGCUGCGCAGCGGUGUUCCAACCAUGCCAGGGCCACGGCUGUGGCCCAGGUGCGCCCACGGAGAUCCGAGCUUUCCCUCUCUUCCAUUCUUUCCGACGCCUCGGUGUCCGAGCCUCUCCCACUGUCUGCCUGGCCUGGGCCUUCAGAACCCGAGCUGGAGGGUUGACUGCAGGAGGCUGUGGCACUGUCACCUUGGCCAACACCAGGGCCCAGAAAUGCCCAAGGAGAUGAGGUUGAGGUGGGGCUGAGGCUGGCGCGGUGUGCAGCAAAGGGAGAGGCUCGACACAGGCGUUCCUGAGGAAUGCUCACAGCAGCACAGAAGGGUUCAUCCAGGCGGAAGGAGCCUGGAGCCUCUUGCAGUCGUACCUGAGGAGAGAAGAGGUGGGGGGAGAGGGAGCUGAGACAGAGCUCUGGCUCUAAUGGUACUACCCUCCACCUCCCCAGUCCUCACCAAAGGCAGGUAGUCAUGGCUGCUGGCUUCGUUGCUGUUCUCAUGAGUCUGGCCCUUAUUGGAGCUGCAAAGUCUGCGAUGAUGACCCAGGCUGAGCCUGGAAGAGGCUGGAGGCUGGUGGGGCAAGCCAUGAUGACCUCCAGUAGGAGAUAUGGACUCCCCCAAUGCUGACUUGGAGUUGUCAUUUAGGUCCAGGUCCCAGGCACCUGCAGAACAGCCUCCCUGAUGUCCUACAGUAGGGUCACCCAGUACCAGCAAGUGGUUCAAAGCCCACCUGUGCCCAGUCCAUUACAUUUGAGCCAUACCUUUAGAGUGGACUGCUGUGGACAGAGGGGCAACAGCUAGAUGGUCUUGAGAGGCAGACACGCCUGAGAACUCAGCUGGAUCUGAGAGGGUACGGGAGUUAGUCCCACUGGGUUGCCAGUGAGGUGAGGGUCACAUCUUAGAGGGCAUCAGAGGAGGUCCAUACCUGAACUCCACACCUGCAGGGCUCCGGGCAAGACCUCCCUAGUGGUAGCAUCUACAGCAACAGGGCAAGUAAAGCAGGAUGGGGCCGAGCUGACCUUGCUUGUCUGAAUGGCUCUGAGCCAGGACCUUCUGACUCUGCCUGUAAAUGGAAGCCGUAGCAAGCUCAACUCUCACUAUAAAAAGCUGCAUUAAAAAUGCUGGAAAUGUGGGUUCCCAGAGCAAAGGGUGUCUCUGUCUCUGUUCCCUGCCAUUGGACUGCCAGGUUGGGCCUCAGCGGGAGAGGAUGUGCCUAGUCCUGCUGGGACCACAUAUCCCAGGGUGGGGUGGUGCUCAAACAGGGCUCCCCUUCUCUGAGGAGAAGGGAAGGGA
This 1494-nucleotide long non-coding RNA is filed under the name Rattus norvegicus (Norway rat). Its description in RNAcentral is "long non-coding RNA NONRATT006718". Lineage: Eukaryota; Metazoa; Chordata; Mammalia; Rodentia; Muridae. The record is from RNAcentral.